GAUGAACGCUGGCGGCGUGCUUAACACAUGCAAGUCGAGCGAAUGGAUUAAGAGCUUGCUCUUAUGAAGUUAGCGGCGGACGGGUGAGUAACACGUGGGUAACCUGCCCAUAAGACUGGGAUAACUCCGGGAAACCGGGGCUAAUACCGGAUAACAUUUUGAACCGCAUGGUUCGAAAUUGAAAGGCGGCUUCGGCUGUCACUUAUGGAUGGACCCGCGUCGCAUUAGCUAGUUGGUGAGGUAACGGCUCACCAAGGCAACGAAGCGUAGCCGACCUGAGAGGGUGAUCGGCCACACUGGGACUGAGACACGGCCCAGACUCCUACGGGAGGCAGCAGUAGGGAAUCUUCCGCAAUGGACGAAAGUCUGACGGAGCAACGCCGCGUGAGUGAUGAAGGCUUUCGGGUCGUAAAACUCUGUUGUUAGGGAAGAACAAGUGCUAGUUGAAUAAGCUGGCACCUUGACGGUACCUAACCAGAAAGCCACGGCUAACUACGUGCCAGCCGCCGCGGUAA
This 515-nucleotide ribosomal RNA is filed under the name uncultured bacterium. Its description in RNAcentral is "partial 16S ribosomal RNA". It matches the Rfam family "Bacterial small subunit ribosomal RNA", at positions 28 to 523 of the family's 1533-position model. The record is from RNAcentral.